Molecule: long non-coding RNA, 1023 nt
Filed under: Daphnia pulicaria
Lineage: Eukaryota; Metazoa; Arthropoda; Branchiopoda; Diplostraca; Daphniidae
Description: uncharacterized LOC124343526, transcript variant X3
Source: RNAcentral
GCACACCUUGUAGUAGUCUGAUUCGUGGUCUAUGGGAAGGUGAAUUUCUUUAUCAGGUUUAAUUUAUUGUUGAGCUCAAUAUUCUGUUAAAUUUUUUAAAACUGACUGUGUGUGUGUUUGUAAUGGACGGAGUGCGUAAAAGGUUCGUGUGGACGGCGUGUCAAGCAACCACCCUUGAUUCUCACGGACGUCUGGAACUGCGCGAAAACUGGUGGCCCAAUAAGUACUAAACGCCUCUGCAUCGCAAGAGAUCACGAGAUACCGGUUGGCUUGCCACAAUUCCCGAUCUUCAAUGGCUUGAAUAAAAAUCCGCAGGGACAUCGUCUCUCCAAGGAAUACGUAAACUGUAAAACCAGAAAAAGAAAAAGGGGGACGGGUGCGUAGGAAUGCUGGGAAGAGUUCUUUGUUGGACAAUUUUUCGUCUCCACAGACCUGAGUCGUUAUACGAAAAGCUGCAGAUGUCAUUAUGUCCAAAUACUGUUACCACUCCUGACUGCAACAUCUCUUCUAGCGCAACUGUAACAGAUUGGUUAACUUUAACUUGCUUGAAUGUUAUCGCCAGUUGGAGGGUUUUCGAUAACUGUUGAUUGGCUUCAUUUACGGCCAUUUGUAGAGCGCUAUAAAUGUCUUUCUCUGUUCGAAACGCAAGGUGAUCUUGAGGAGAAGACAGAAAUCCGAUUGGAAGAUUUAUGCCGGACACUUUAACCGGAACCAGACAAAGAAGGAACACAAUCAAGAAAACUAGUUGGACGAGAAGAAAUUGAUGAGCUUUCCAUGGCGAGAACAGGUCUGGUUUCUUCUCCAUACUUUACAGUUACCGCGGACUCGAUUUUUUUAAAUUAUUCAGCUUCACCUAUUUUCACAAAUUAAGAUUUACUGCGACAUCCACAGAAAAUUGUUAUUUAAUAUUACCACGAGCCCGCUUGUCAAAAGAUCAAGAUUAUUCCGACAUUUCCGAGAAAUUGUGCAUCGGACCUUAUGGACGUGUUAAGCUGUCAAAUAAACAGACAUAUGAAUGACAAA